GAUGAACGCUGGCGGCGUGCUUAAUACAUGCAAGUCGAACGAAGCUCCUUGUCUUCGGAUUAGGAGACUUAGUGGCGAACGGGUGCGUAACGCGUUGGUAACCUGCCCCAAAGCGGGGGAUAACAGUCCGAAAGGACUGCUAAUACCUCAUGUGGUCAUCAGGGUUAGAUACCUGAUGAUUAAAGGAGUAAUCCACUUUGGGAGGGGCCUGCGUCCCAUCAGCUAGUUGGUAGGGUAAUGGCCUACCAAGGCGAUGACGGGUAGGGGACCUGAGAGGGUGGCCCCCCACACUGGCACUGAAAUACGGGCCAGACACCUACGGGUGGCAGCAGUAGGGAAUAUUGGACAAUGGGCGAAAGCCUGAUCCAGCAACGCCGCGUGCACGAUGACGGUCUUCGGAUUGUAAAGUGCUUUUAAGGGAGAUGAGAAAGGACAGUAUCCAUUGAA
RNAcentral lists this ribosomal RNA (447 nucleotides) under uncultured bacterium. RNAcentral describes it as "bacterial SSU rRNA". It matches the Rfam family "Bacterial small subunit ribosomal RNA", at positions 28 to 486 of the family's 1533-position model. The record is from RNAcentral.